UCCAGACUCCUACGGGAGGCAGCAGUGGGGAAUAUUGGGCAAUGGGCGAAAGCCUGACCCAGCAACGCCGCGUGAAGGAAGAAGGCUUUCGGGUUGUAAACUUCUUUUGACAGGGAAGAGCAGAAGACGGUACCUGUCGAAUAGGCCACGGCUAACUACGUGCCAGCAGCCGCGGUAAUACGUAUGGUGCAAGCGUUAUCCGGAUUUACUGGGUGUAAAGGGAGCGCAGGCGGCACGGCAAGCCUGAUGUGAAAGCCCGCGGCCCAACCGCGGGACUGCAUUGGGAACUACCGGGCUGGAGUGCAGGAGAGGUAGGCGGAAUUCCUAGUGUAGCGGUGAAAUGCGUAGAUAUUAGGAGGAACACCAGUGGCGAAGGCGGCUUACUGGACUGUAACUGACGUUGAGGCUCGAAAGCGUGGGGAGCAAACAGGAUUAGAUACCCGGGUA
Molecule: ribosomal RNA, 447 nt
Filed under: uncultured bacterium
Lineage: Bacteria
Description: bacterial SSU rRNA
Rfam family: Bacterial small subunit ribosomal RNA
Source: RNAcentral